UACGUAGGGUGCGAGCGUUAAUCGGAAUUACUGGGCGUAAAGCGUGCGCAGGCGGUUUUGUAAGUCAGAUGUGAAAUCCCCGGGCUUAACCUGGGAAUGGCAUUUGGGACUGCAAGGCUCGAGUGCGGCAGAGGAGACUGGAAUUCCUGGUGUAGCAGUGAAAUGCGUAGAUAUCAGGAGGAACACCGAUGGCGAAGGCAGGUCUCUGGGCUGACACUGACGCUCAUGCACGAAAGCGUGGGGAGCAAACAGG
RNAcentral lists this ribosomal RNA (253 nucleotides) under uncultured bacterium. RNAcentral describes it as "partial 16S ribosomal RNA". It matches the Rfam family "Bacterial small subunit ribosomal RNA", at positions 524 to 776 of the family's 1533-position model. The record is from RNAcentral.